This 808-nucleotide ribosomal RNA is filed under the name bacterium NTN36. RNAcentral describes it as "bacterial SSU rRNA". It matches the Rfam family "Bacterial small subunit ribosomal RNA". The record is from RNAcentral.
CAGAGAGCUUGCUCUCGGGUGACGAGCGGCGGACGGGUGAGUAAUGUCUGGGAAACUGCCUGAUGGAGGGGGAUAACUACUGGAAACGGUAGCUAAUACCGCAUAAUGUCGCAAGACCAAAGUGGGGGACCUUCGGGCCUCAUGCCAUCAGAUGUGCCCAGAUGGGAUUAGCUAGUAGUGGGGUAACGGCUCACCUAGGCGACGAUCCCUAGCUGGUCUGAGAGGAUGACCAGCCACACUGGAACUGAGACACGGUCCAGACUCCUACGGGAGGCAGCAGUGGGGAAUAUUGCACAAUGGGCGCAAGCCUGAUGCAGCCAUGCCGCGUGUGUGAAGAAGGCCUUCGGGUUGUAAAGCACUUUCAGCGGGGAGGAAGGCGUUUAGGUUAAUUACCUUGGCGAUUGACGUUACCGCAAGAAGAAGCCACGGCUAACUCCGUGCCCAGCAGCCGCGGUAAUACGGAGGGGUGCAAGCGUUAUUCGAAAUUACUGGGCGUAAAGCGCACGCAGGCGGUCUGUCAAGUCGGAUGUGAAAUCCCCGGGCUCAACCUGGGAACUGCAUUCGAAACUGGCAAGGCUUAAGUCUUGUUAGGGGGGUAAAUUCAGGUGUACGGUUAAAAUGCGUAAAGAUUNUGGANGAAUACCGGUGCGAAGGNCGGCCCCCUGGGAACAAAAACUGACGCUNCAGGUGCGAAAGCGUGGGANCAAACAGGAUAAUACCUNGUNAUCCACCCGUAAAAUUAUAUUUGGGUUUUCCUUGGUUUUCCGAUCUUUUUACCCCUGGGAUAUGGCGGUAUACAAUAUUUAUG